UUGGAUUAAUACCCCGUAAUAUUUUUGGGUGGCAUCACCUGAUAAUUAUAGCUCCGGCGCUUAAAGAUGGGCGUGCGACUGAUUAGGUAGUUGGCGGGGUAACGGCCCACCAAGCCUACGAUCAGUAACUGGUGUGAGAGCACGACCAGUCACACGGGCACUGAGACACGGGCCCGACUCCUACGGGAGGCAGCAGUAAGGAAUAUUGGUCAAUGGACGCAAGUCUGAACCAGCCAUGCCGCGUGGAGGAUGAAUGCCCUCUGGGUUGUAAACUCCUUUUAUCUGGGAAGAAACCUAUACAUUCUUGUGUAGUUGACGGUACCAGAGGAAUAAGCACCGGCUAACUCCGUGCCAGCAGCCGCGGUAAUACGGAGGGUGCAAGCGUUAUCCGGAUUCACUGGGUUUAAAGGGUGCGUAGGUGGAUUGGUAAGUCAGUGGUGAAAUCCCCGAGCUUAACUUGGGAACUGCCGUUGAUACUAUCAAUCUUGAAUAUCGUGGAGGUAAGCGGAAUAUGUCAUGUAGCGGUGAAAUGCUUAGAUAUGACAUAGAACACCAAUUGCGAAGGCAGCUCACUACACAAUCAUUGACUCUGAGGCACG
Molecule: ribosomal RNA, 599 nt
Filed under: uncultured bacterium
Lineage: Bacteria
Description: bacterial SSU rRNA
Rfam family: Bacterial small subunit ribosomal RNA
Source: RNAcentral